This 274-nucleotide ribosomal RNA is filed under the name uncultured bacterium. RNAcentral describes it as "partial 16S ribosomal RNA". It matches the Rfam family "Bacterial small subunit ribosomal RNA", at positions 523 to 796 of the family's 1533-position model. The record is from RNAcentral.
AUACAGAGGGUGCGAGCGUUGUUCGGAAUUAUUGGGCGUAAAGAGCAUGUAGGCGGUCUGUUAAGUCUGGUGUGAAAGCCCGGGGCUCAACCCCGGAAGUGCAUUGGAUACUGGCAGACUUGAGUAUGGGAGAGGAAAGCGGAAUUCCGAGUGUAGGAGUGAAAUCCGUAGAUAUUCGGAGGAACACCAGUGGCGAAGGCGGCUUUCUGGACCAAUACUGACGCUGAGAUGCGAAAGCGUGGGGAGCAAACAGGAUUAGAAACCCCAGUAGUCC